UUUUUCUUUAUUUUCUUUACUCUACUCAAACUUGUUUAUCAGUUUAAGAAGGAUCAUUUUUUUCAAUUCUUCAUCAUCAAUCUCUAUACAUGGCUACUAAUACUGUUUCAUCAGAUCAUCCAACUACUGUCUCUGAGCAAGCUGAGAAGGAAGUGCUGCCUGAAGAGGUUAAGACUAUGGAAGGAGAGAGUGUUCCCCUUACCAAGGAGAAUGAAGAUUCCCCAAGUCCAGUGGUUUCUUCUACUGAACCAGUGGUAAAAGUAGAGGACACAAAAUGCGAAUCAACAGUAAUUGAAGAGCCAGACAAGAAUGAGGAGGAAAAGCCAAAAUCAGUGGAAGUUGACGACGGGGAGAAGCCAAAUGCAGAGGAAUCAUCCCAAGUGAUAACUGAAGAAGUGAAGAAAGAUGAGAAGCCAAUAACGGACGACGCUGCCCCAGCAAUUGUUGAUGAGGUAGAGAAGUCAACAGUUGAGACACCACCUUCAGCCAUCAUAGAGGAACUAAAGAGCAAUGAUGAAGAAGAGAAGCAAAAAGUUGAUGAACCACAGGUCCUGGAAAUUGAAGAGGUAAAGAAAGCUGAGGAGGAGCAGAAGCCUGUUGCUGAUGAACCAGUUCCUACUGUAGUUGAAGAAGUAAAGAAAGCUGAUGAGGAAGAGAAGCUGACAACAGAAGAACCACCAGUAACUAUCCUUGAAGAGGUGAAGAAGAGUGAUGACGAAGAGAAGCCUAAAGCUGAUGAACCAAUUCCAACAAUAGUUGAAGUAAAGACAGCUGAUGAGCAGCCAAGGAUAGAGGAACCACCACCAACCAUAAUCGCAGAGGUAAAGAAAAGUGAUGAGAAAGAGAAGCCUGAAGCUGAUGAACCAGCUCCAACAAUAGCGGAAGAAGUAAAGAAAGCUGAUGAAGAAGAGAAGCCAACAAUUGAGGAACCUCCAGUAACUAUAAUUGAAGAUGUAAAGAAAAGCGUCGAGGAAGAAAAGCCAAUAGCUGAUGAACCACUGCCCCCAACAGUUGAAGAGGAGAAAGAAGUUGAUGAACCACCUUCUCCACUAGCCACAACUCACGAUGCAGAGAAGCCAAAAGCUGAGGAAUUACCAAGCAUACCUGCAACUUCAGCAGAAUCAGAAGAAAAGACAACAGACAAGGAAAUUGAGCCUCCUACUGUCAAAGAAGUUAAGAAACAAGAUGAGACACCUGCAUUGAAUGUCACUACCAAAGAUAUUCCUGAAUUAACCAAGGAAUCUGCCCCUGAGCCAGAAGCUCAGAUUAUUCCUGAUCAAGUUGCUGAUAUUACCAAAAGUGAACCAGAGGUCCAAACAGAGGCUGGAAAUGUUGAAACUCUAGACAAAGAAUCCAAAAUAGAGCCUGAGAAGCAGCCAGCUACAGUUGACAUUGUGGAAACUUCAAUUGAGGCUGUUGAGGAAAACAAGGAGCAAAUAGACUUAGAGGCCAGUGAACAGCAAAAAGUUUUAGAGGCAGAAGUUCCAAAAGCAGAACCUAAGGAAGAAGCUUCAGAGCCAGCUCCCAUUGUAGAGGAAAAGCCAACUGAAGCUACUCAAAAGAUUGAGCAAGAAGCUGCCGAGGCUGUUACCGGAAAUGAAGAAGCGAUUCCAGUGGAAAAGGUAAAAGAGUCCCCAAAAGGGGAACCUGUUGUUCCAGAGAGCUCAAAACAAGUAACCUCAACUACUUUAGAAACUCUCAUGCAGAAAAUGGACGAGGAAAGUCCUACAGAAGUUGCUGCAGACAAUGUGGAAUUGGUUCCAGAGGCUAAAGAUGCUGAAGCACCACCAAAAGAAGAGGUGGAAAAUGUCGAAAGAGAAAUAAAGGAUGUGAAAACUGUUGGUCAAGAUGAGAAGGUGGAGAAGAGUGUUGCAACUGAAGAAUUAGCUGAACCAGAAGCAAAGGGAGUUGAAACAUCUGAAGUUGCUGAAAAGGCUCCAGAAGUGGUGAUUGGUUCUAGAGACACUGAACAAAUUGCGGAAAAUGGGAGCUCAAAGGAGGUCACAAUUCCUACAAUUGAAGGCAAUGAAGCUGCAGAAGUUGAGAAGAAAGUGGAUGAGAAUGCUACUGCUGAACCAUCAGUUGAAGACGCUCAGAAGUUGGAGACAGAGACUAAAGAUCUGAAGACUGCUGAAGGUGAGAAAGAAGUUGAGGAGACAGCAAAAACAGAAGCUCCUAAGGAUGGUGAAGACAAGAAAACUACAGAAGAAGUACCAGUAAAGACAAAGCAGUCAAAUAACCUUAUGUCCAAGGUGAAGCAGUCUCUUGUGAAGGCUAAGAAAGCAAUCAUUGGAAAGUCUCCCGGCUCUAAAUCUGAUACAAAGAAUGAAGUUAAAACCAAAUAAGAUAAAGGGAAGAAACAUUACAAUGAUCAUAAGUGAGUUGUUUUAUUAGUUGUGUGAUCUUUAUUUUUUCUUUUCCUAAACCUUUUUUUCAUUUUUUUGGGUCAGAUAUAUUGGUUGCUCUGUUCGGGAUGUCGUAUGAUUCUAGUGUUUGUCAUAGGUAUUGUAUAGUUGUGCUUUCUAGUCAAUAUUUGACUUUUGAUUCAGUUUGUG
This 2555-nucleotide unclassified non-coding RNA is filed under the name Hevea brasiliensis (rubber tree). The record is from RNAcentral. Lineage: Eukaryota; Viridiplantae; Streptophyta; Magnoliopsida; Malpighiales; Euphorbiaceae.